Molecule: ribosomal RNA, 483 nt
Filed under: uncultured bacterium
Lineage: Bacteria
Description: partial 16S ribosomal RNA
Rfam family: Bacterial small subunit ribosomal RNA
Source: RNAcentral
AUUGAACGCUGGCGGCAGGCCUAACACAUGCAAGUCGAGCGGAUGAAGGGAGCUUGCUCCUGGAUUCAGCGGCGGACGGGUGAGUAAUGCCUAGGAAUCUGCCUGGUAGUGGGGGAUAACGUCCGGAAACGGGCGCUAAUACCGCAUACGUCCUGAGGGAGAAAGUGGGGGAUCUUCGGACCUCACGCUAUCAGAUGAGCCUAGGUCGGAUAAGCUAGUUGGUGGGGUAAAGGCCUACCAAGGCGACGAUCCGUAACUGGCCUGAGAGGAUGAUCAGUCACACGGAACCUGGACACCGGCCAGACUCCUACGGGAGGGAGCAGGUGGGAAUUUUCGGCAAUGGGCCGAAGGCUUACGCCGCCAAGGCGCGUGUGUUGAGAAAGUCUUCCGAAUGUAAAACCCUUUUAGGUGGGAAGAAAGGGAGUUAAGUUAAUUCUUUGCUGUUUGACGGUACCCAAUAAAAAAGGCACCGCUAACCUCGUG